AGCGAACGCUGGCGGCAGGCCUAACACAUGCAAGUCGAGCGCCGUAGCAAUACGGAGCGGCAGACGGGAGAGUAACACGUGGGAACGUACCCUUUGGUUCGGAACAACCCAGGGAAACUUGGGCUAAUACCGAAUAAGCCCUCACGGGGAAAGAUUUAUCGCCGAAGGAUCGGCCCGCGUCUGAUUAGCUAGUUGGUGAGGUAAUGGCCCACCAAGGCGACGAUCGGUAGCUGGUCUGAGAGGAUGAUCAGCCUCACUGGGACUGAGACACGGCCCAGACUCCUACGGGAGGCAGCAGUGGGGAAUAUUGGACAAUGGGCGCAAGCCUGAUCCAGCCAUGCCGCGUGGGUGAUGAAGGCCCUAGGGUUGUAAAGCCCUUUCGGCGGGAAGAUAAUGACGGUACCCGCAGAAGAAGCCCCGGCUAACUUCGUGCCAGCCGCCGCCGUAA
RNAcentral lists this ribosomal RNA (448 nucleotides) under uncultured bacterium. Its description in RNAcentral is "partial 16S ribosomal RNA". It matches the Rfam family "Bacterial small subunit ribosomal RNA", at positions 29 to 523 of the family's 1533-position model. The record is from RNAcentral.